UAAUGAGGGGAGGAAAAGAAACUAACAAGGAUUUUCUUAGUAGCGGCGAGCGAAAAGAAAAGAGUUCAGCACUAAGUCACUUUGUCUUUAUGGCAAAUGUGAGAUGCAGUGUAUGGAAUGUCAAAUUUCUAGUAUGAGAAAUUAACGAUUUAAGUCCUUCUUAAAUGAGGCCAUUUACCCAAAGAGGGUGCCAGGCCCGUAUAACGUUAAUGAUUACUAGAUGGCAUUUCCAAAGAGUCGUGUUGCUUGAUAGUGCAGCACUAAGUGGGUGGUAAACUCCAUCUAAAACUAAAUAUAACCAUGAGACCGAUAGUAAACAAGUACCGUGAGGGAAAGUUGAAAAGAACUCUGAAUAGAGAGUUAAAUAGUACGUGAAACUGCUUAGAGGUUAAGCCCGAUGAACCUGAAUAUCCGUUAUGGAAAAUUCAUCAUUAUGAUUUUAAUAUUUAUAAUAUUAUAAUAAUGGUGUGCAUUUUUUCUAUAAAGGACAUUGUAAUCUAUUAACAUACAAAUAUUUAUCAUAAGAUCAAGGGCGUAAGUUUAUUCAAAUUAUUUUGCUUGCAAUUUAACAUAGAAUAAAUGUCUUUGAUUUGAUAAAGUGUUGAUAGAUUUAUUAUAUAUAGUGCUUAAAUAUUUAUAUUUUAUAAUAGCAUAUUAAUCAUUGAUUUUUAUGUUUAUUAUAUGCACUUAUAUGAUUAACAAUGCGAAAGAUUCAGGAUACCUUCGGGACCCGUCUUGAAACACGGACCAAGGAGUCUAACAUAUUUGCAAGUUAUUGGGAAUAAAAACCUAAUAGCGAAAUUAACAUAACUUAUUAAUGGGAUUAGUUUUUAGCCUAUUUAUAGUCUAUUAAUUCAAUCCCGGGGCGUUCUAUCAGUUAUGUAUAAUAAUAUUUAUAUUAUUUAUACCUCUAACUAGAGCGUACCUUGAGCAUAUAUGCUGUGACCCGAAAGAUGGUGAACUAUACUUGAUCAGGUUGAAGUCAGGGGAAACCCUGAUGGAAGACCGAAACAGUUCUGACGUGCAAAUCGAUUGUCAGAAUUGAGUAUAGGGGCGAAAGACCAAUCGAACCAUCUAGUAGCUGGUUCCCUCCGAAGUUUCCCUCAGGAUAGCUGGUGCAUUUAAAAAUUAUGUAAAAUAAUCUUAUCUGGUAAAGCGAAUGAUUAGAGGCCUUAGGGUCGAAACGACCUUAACCUAUUCUCAAACUUUAAAUGGGUAAGAACCUCACCUUUCUUGGUAUGAAGGUCGUGGUUGUGAUAUAAUGUGCCCAGUGGGCCACUUUUGGUAAGCAGAACUGGCGCUGUGGGAUGAACCAAACGUAAUGUUACGGUGCCCAAAUUAACAACUCAUGCAGAUACCAUGAAAGGCGUUGGUUGCUUAAAACAGCAGGACGGUGGACAUGGAAGUCGUAAUCCGCUAAGGAGUGUGUAACAACUCACCUGCCGAAGCAACUAGCCCUUAAAAUGGAUGGCGCUUAAGUUGUAUACCUAUACAUUACCGCUAAAGUAGAUGGUUUAUGUUCAAUUUCGGUUGGAUUAUAAACUUUGAAACUUUAGUGAGUAGGAGGGUACAAUGGUGAGCAUAGAAGUGUUUGGCGUAAGCCUGCAUGGAGCUGCCAUUGGUACAGAUCUUGGUGGUAGUAGCAAAUAAUCGAAUGAGACCUUGGAGGACUGAAGUGGAGAAGGGUUUCGUGUGAACAGUGGUUGAUCACGAGUUAGUCGGUCCUAAGUUCAAGGCGAAAGCCGAAAAUUUUCAAGUUAUAAUGAAAAGUAUAAAUAAUUUUACUUAGUAAUUAAACACUUGAAUAAUUUUGAACGAAAGGGAAUACGGUUCCAAUUCCGUAACCUGUUGAGUAUCCGUUUGUUAUUAAAUAUGGGCCUUGUGCUCAUCCUGGCAACAGGAACGACCAUAAAGAAGCCGUCGAGAGAUAUCGGAAGAGUUUUCUUUUCUGUUUUAUAGUCGUACUACCAUGGAAGUCUUUCGAAGAGAGAUAUGGUAGAUGGACUAGAAGAGCAUGACAUUUACUGUUGUGUCGAUAUUUUCUCCUCGGACCUUGAAAAUUUAUGGUGGGGUCACGCAAACUUCUCAACAGGCCGUACCAAUAUCCGCAGCUGGUCUCCAAGGUGAAGAGUCUCUAGUCGAUAGAAUA
RNAcentral lists this ribosomal RNA (2149 nucleotides) under Chrysomya megacephala (oriental latrine fly). RNAcentral describes it as "partial 28S ribosomal RNA". It matches the Rfam family "Eukaryotic large subunit ribosomal RNA", at positions 44 to 1897 of the family's 3401-position model. Lineage: Eukaryota; Metazoa; Arthropoda; Insecta; Diptera; Calliphoridae. The record is from RNAcentral.